RNAcentral lists this small nuclear RNA (153 nucleotides) under Tupaia belangeri (northern tree shrew). RNAcentral describes it as "U2 spliceosomal RNA (ENSTBEG00000021240.1)". The stretch from base 1 to 126 matches the Rfam family "U2 spliceosomal RNA". From Rfam's summary of the family: U2 is a small nuclear RNA (snRNA) component of the spliceosome (involved in pre-mRNA splicing). Complementary binding between U2 snRNA (in an area lying towards the 5' end but 3' to hairpin I) and the branchpoint sequence (BPS) of the intron results the bulging out of an unpaired adenosine, on the BPS, which initiates a nucleophilic attack at the intronic 5' splice site, thus starting the first of two transesterification reactions that mediate splicing. The record is from RNAcentral. Lineage: Eukaryota; Metazoa; Chordata; Mammalia; Scandentia; Tupaiidae.
AUCACUUCUGGGCCUUUCGACUAAGAUCAAGUAUAGUAUCUGUUCUUAUCAGUUUAAUAUCUGCCUCUGUGAAGGAUCUCCACAUACUGUCAUAUUCUGAGGUGCACUAUGGGUCAGGCAUUCCACAUAUGAAUUUGAAGUAGGGGACACACA